ACUCCGGAUCUGCGGUGGGUACGGGCAGACUAGAGUGAUGUAGGGGAGACUGGAAUUCCUGGUGUAGCGGUGAAAUGCGCAGAUAUCAGGAGGAACACCGAUGGCGAAGGCAGGUCUCUGGGCAUUAACUGACGCUGAGGAGCGAAAGCAUGGGGAGCGAACAGGAUUAGAUACCCUGGUAGUCCAUGCCGUAAACGUUGGGCACUAGGUGUGGGGGACAUUCCACGUUUUCCGCGCCGUAGCUAACGCAUUAAGUGCCCCGCCUGGGGAGUACGGCCGCAAGGCUAAAACUCAAAGGAAUUGACGGGGGCCCGCACAAGCGGCGGAGCAUGCGGAUUAAUUCGAUGCAACGCGAAGAACCUUACCAAGGCUUGACAUGAACCGGAAACACCUGGAAACAGGUGCCCCGCUUGCGGUCGGUUUACAGGUGGUGCAUGGUUGUCGUCAGCUCGUGUCGUGAGAUGUUGGGUUAAGUCCCGCAACGAGCGCAACCCUCGUUCUAUGUUGCCAGCGCGUUAUGGCGGGGACUCAUAGGAGACUGCCGGGGUCAACUCGGAGGAAGGUGGGGACGACGUCAAAUCAUCAUGCCCCUUAUGUCUUGGGCUUCACGCAUGCUACAAUGGCCGGUACAAAGGGUUGCGAUACUGUGAGGUGGAGCUAAUCCCAAAAAGCCGGUCUCAGUUCGGAUUGGGGUCUGCAACUCGACCCCAUGAAGUCGGAGUCGCUAGUAAUCGCAGAUCAGCAACGCUGCGGUGAAUACGUUCCCGGGCCUUGUACACACCGCCCGUCAAGUCACGAAAGUUGGUAACACCCGAAGCCGGUGGCCUAACCCCUUGUGGGAGGGAGCUGUCUGAGAGUUGAU
Molecule: ribosomal RNA, 862 nt
Filed under: Arthrobacter sp. 3_4
Lineage: Bacteria; Bacillati; Actinomycetota; Actinomycetes; Micrococcales; Micrococcaceae
Description: bacterial SSU rRNA
Rfam family: Bacterial small subunit ribosomal RNA
Source: RNAcentral